This 253-nucleotide ribosomal RNA is filed under the name uncultured bacterium. RNAcentral describes it as "partial 16S ribosomal RNA". It matches the Rfam family "Bacterial small subunit ribosomal RNA", at positions 524 to 776 of the family's 1533-position model. The record is from RNAcentral.
UACGGGGGGGGCAAGCGUUGUUCGGAAUUACUGGGCGUAAAGGGCUCGUAGGCGGCCAACUAAGUCGGAUGUGAAAUCCCCAGGCUUAACCUGGGAACUGCAUCCGAUACUGGAUGGCUUGAAUCCGGGAGAGGGAUGCAGAAUUCCAGGUGUAGCGGUGAAAUGCGUAGAUAUCAGGAGGAACACCGGUGGCGAAGGCGGGUCUCUGGGCCGUAACUGACGCUGAGGAGCGAAAGCGUGGGGAGCGAACAGG